This 72-nucleotide transfer RNA is filed under the name Stegodyphus mimosarum. It matches the Rfam family "tRNA". Rfam says of the family: Transfer RNA (tRNA) molecules are approximately 80 nucleotides in length. Lineage: Eukaryota; Metazoa; Arthropoda; Arachnida; Araneae; Eresidae. The record is from Rfam by way of RNAcentral.
GACUUCGUGGUGCAAUUGGAAGCAUACUCGACUCGUAUUUGAGAGGUCCAGGGUUCGAGUCCAGCGAGGACA